RNAcentral lists this ribosomal RNA (517 nucleotides) under Theloderma vietnamense (South Vietnamese bug-eyed frog). Its description in RNAcentral is "partial large subunit ribosomal RNA". It matches the Rfam family "Bacterial large subunit ribosomal RNA", at positions 1856 to 2590 of the family's 2925-position model. The record is from RNAcentral. Lineage: Eukaryota; Metazoa; Chordata; Amphibia; Anura; Rhacophoridae.
AGCCUGCCCAGUGAAAAUUAAACGGCUGCGGUACCCUGACCGUGCAAAGGUAGCAUAAUCACCCGUUCUUUAAAUGAGGACUCGUAUCAAUGGCAUCACGAGGGUUAUACUGUCUCCCCCCCCCAAUCAGUGAAACUGAUCUCCCCGUGAAGAAGCGGGGAUAUAAAUAUAAGACGAGAAGACCCCAUGGAGCUUAAAACCACACAGCAACUCUACCACUCAACCCCCUAUAGUACUUUAGAGACAUGCAACAAGGUUUUUGGUUGGGGUGACCGCGGAGUAAAAACCAACCUCCACAUUGUAAAGAUCUAAGUCUUUAUCCUAGAACUACUAUUCAAAGAAUUUGUAUACAAACAACUAAUGACCCGAUUUUCGAUCAACGGACCAAGUUACCCUGGGGAUAACAGCGCAAUCUACUCUUAGAGCCCUUAUCGAUAAGUAGGCUUACGACCUCGAUGUUGGAUCAGGGUAACCUAGCGGCGCAGCCACUGCUAACGGUUCGUUUGUUCAACGAUUA